CUCUUGCCCGGCGCGCCGCCGCCGCCCCCGGUCCGGUCGCGCUGGCGUCGGUUCUUGAACCAGUUGCUGACCUGCGUGAGCGAGAGGCCGGUGAGCGUGGCCAGGCGGCGCUUCUCGUCCGGCGUGGGGUAGCGGUUGCCGCGGUAGCAGGCCUUGAGCGCGGCGCGGGAGCGCUCCUUGAAGCAGUAGACGGUCUCCUCGCCGUCCCAGAUGGUCUUGGGCAGCGGGAAUUUCUUGCGCAGACGGUACUUGUCCACCGCGCCCAGCGCGCGGCCGCGGGCCCGCUCGGCCUCGUGGUAGCGCGCGCGCAGGUAGAGGUCCUGCAGGAAGGCGUGGUGGGCGGCGGGGAAGGGGCGGCUCUCGAGCAGCCGGUAGAGCUCAGCGUACUCGCCCCGCUGGAAGGCCACAAGGGCCCGAGCGCGCAGCACCGGAUCGCUGCCACGUAGGCGCUCCGCCGGGGGCAGUGCGCCCAGGAAGCGGCUCAAGCGGCCGGCGUGGCCCGCCUGUAGCAGCGCCUCGCACACGCACGCCACCUGCUCCGGCGAGAAGCGGAGGCCUGUGGGCGGCUCGGCAGCGGCCUCGCGGGGAGACCCGGGGACGCCCGGGGAUCCAGGGUCCUCCGCUUUCACCGUCGCUUCGCCCGCCCCGGCCCCGGCCGCCGCCGCCGCCUCACCCUCGGCCGCCUGCAAAGUCUGCAGGAGCUGGCGCGCUUCCUCCUCCUCCUCUUCGGCCGCCGCCGCCGCCGCCACCGCCUCCCCCCCAGCCGCCGGCCCCGCGCUCGGCUCCGAAGGCAAGGGCCUCAGUUUCCCCAUCGGGACAACGGAGAAGGUAACGGGCCGUCCGGGAGGGCUAAGGGCGCGAAGCCACCUCCGCCCUGAGACUGAGCUUCUGCAUGCCUCCGUCUCCAGGGUCCUCAGAAGGCCCCCCUUACUCCCCAUCUCGGCCAACGCUCCGCCCCUCGGAAUUCCCGGCUCCGCAGGGGGGCGGGUCUGGCUGGGAGAAGGGGCGGGGAAAACGGGCUAGAAAGUUUGCAGCAACUUUUCUUGAGCUUAGGUCCCUGGAACGGAUGCGCGUGGCCCGCGCAGGCGCAGUGGCAGGAGGAUGGCCGCACGCGCCGCCCGCCCAGCCCCCUUCUUCGCGGCGGUCUAGUGGCACAGCUGGGCCACAGCUGGACAAGGGGCGGUGCCGUCGAGUGGCCCGCUCGUCUUCUUCUAUUGGCCGGAGGUCGAAGCCACACCCUCAUCCCUACCCCCACCCCUGAUUCGUCCGCUUCGUCUCCCGCUAGCUUCCUGCCAGGCCAUUGGCCGCCUCCACUCGCCUGGCCGGAUUGGCCCACUGAGUAGCCUCCUGCCCUCCUUGCAAACAGAGCCGGCACGAAGUUCGAGCAUUCUGGGCAGACGAAAGGGCCUUUUAUUUGCGAGGAUCGGGGGUGGGGUCCUAGGUGGGGAAAGACAAUAAAUACCGAGGAAUGUCGGG
This is a non-coding RNA of Sus scrofa (pig), 1476 nucleotides long. The record is from RefSeq and is a predicted model, not a curated record. Lineage: Eukaryota; Metazoa; Chordata; Mammalia; Artiodactyla; Suidae.